This 1179-nucleotide small RNA is filed under the name Pan troglodytes (chimpanzee). RNAcentral describes it as "retained intron". The record is from RNAcentral. Lineage: Eukaryota; Metazoa; Chordata; Mammalia; Primates; Hominidae.
CCUCAGCCUCAAGCUCGAAUGUGACAAGUUGGCCAGUGAGAAGUCAGAGAUGCAGCGUCACUAUGUGAUGUACUACGAGAUGUCCUACGGCUUGAACAUCGAGAUGCACAAACAGGCGGAGAUCGUCAAAAGGCUGAACGGGAUUUGUGCCCAGGUCCUGCCCUACCUCUCCCAAGAGCACCAGCAGCAGGUCUUGGGAGCAAUUGAGAGGGCCAAGCAGGUCACCGCUCCCGAGCUGAACUCUAUCAUCCGAGUAUGUAUGGGGACCUGGGCGGGUGGGCGGGGGACAGGUGGGCCCCAGGCAGCUAAUGUUCCCCUCCCCCGCCCUGCAGCAGCAGCUCCAAGCCCACCAGCUGUCCCAGCUGCAGGCCCUGGCCCUGCCCUUGACCCCACUGCCCGUGGGGCUGCAGCCGCCUUCGCUGCCGGCGGUCAGCGCAGGCACCGGCCUCCUCUCGCUGUCCGCGCUGGGUUCCCAGGCCCACCUCUCCAAGGAAGACAAGAACGGGCACGACGGUGACACCCACCAGGAGGAUGAUGGCGAGAAGUCGGAUUAGCAGGGGGCCGGGACGGGGAGGUUGGGAGGGGGGACAGAGGGGAGACAGAGGCACGGAGAGAAAGGAAUGUUCAGCACAAGACACAGCGGAGCUCGGGAUUGGCUAAACUCCCAUAGUAUUUAUGGUGGCCGCCGGCGGGGGCCCCAGCCCAGCUUGCAGACCACCUCUAGCUUUCUUCCUAUCCCAGUCCCGGCCUCCCUCCUCCUCCCCUGCAGCCUGGUUAGGUGGAUACUUGCCCUGACAUGUGAGGCAAGCUAAGGCCCGGAGGGUCAGAUGGGAGACCAGGUCCCAAGGGAGCAAGACCUCGCGAAGCGCAGCACCCCCGGCCCUUCCCCCAUUUUGAACAUGUGUAACUGACAGUCUGCCUGGGCCCCUCGGGACACAUGCCACAGCCCUCUCACCCUGGUACUGCAUGCACGCAAUGCUAGCUGCCCCUUUCCCGUCCUGGGCACCCCGAGUCUCCCCCGACCCCGGGUCCCAGGUAUGCUCCCACCUCCACCUGCCCCACUCACCACCUCUGCUAGUUCCAGACACCUCCACGCCCACCUGGUCCUCUCCCAUCGCCCACAAAAGGGGGGGGGCACGAGGGAUGAGCUUAGCUGAGCUGGGAGGAGCAGGGUGAGGG